AUUGAACGCUAGCGGGAUGCCUUACACAUGCAAGUCGAACGGCAGCACGGACUUCGGUCUGGUGGCGAGUGGCGAACGGGUGAGUAAUGUAUCGGAACGUGCCCAGUAGCGGGGGAUAACUACUCGAAAGAGUAGCUAAUACCGCAUACGCCCUACGGGGGAAAGGGGGGGAUCGCAAGACCUCUCACUAUUGGAGCGGCCGAUAUCGGAUUAGCUAGUUGGUGGGGUAAAGGCCCACCAAGGCGACGAUCCGUAGCUGGUUUGAGAGGACGACCAGCCACACUGGGACUGAGACACGGCCCAGACUCCUACGGGAGGCAGCAGUGGGGAAUUUUGGACAAUGGGGGCAACCCUGAUCCAGCCAUCCCGCGUGUGCGAUGAAGGCCUUCGGGUUGUAAAGCACUUUUGGCAGGAAAGAAAUCGCACGGGCUAAUACCUCGUGUGGAUGACGGUACCUGCAGAAUAAGCACCGGCUAACUACGUGCCAGCCGCCGCCGUAA
This 500-nucleotide ribosomal RNA is filed under the name uncultured bacterium. RNAcentral describes it as "partial 16S ribosomal RNA". It matches the Rfam family "Bacterial small subunit ribosomal RNA", at positions 30 to 523 of the family's 1533-position model. The record is from RNAcentral.